RNAcentral lists this ribosomal RNA (417 nucleotides) under Triticum aestivum (bread wheat). RNAcentral's name for it is "partial small subunit ribosomal RNA". Lineage: Eukaryota; Viridiplantae; Streptophyta; Magnoliopsida; Poales; Poaceae. The record is from RNAcentral.
AUGGUGAGCAUCUCCGAUGAGCUGGCAGCCGCCGGCAAGCCCCUGGAUGAAGACAACGUCGUCGACCACAUCCUGCAAGGUCUCCUCCAUGAACCCGACUACAACGGCUUCAUCUCGGCCAUCUCCAACCGCACCGCCACCAAACAGCCAAUCGGUCUCAGCGAGCUCUUCUCCCUGCUGCUGUCGGCUGAAGCUCGCAUCGCCGCCCAGAACACCGCCUUCCACUCCGCCAAUUUGGCAGCAAGUGGUGGAGGUCGCGGCAACCCAAGUGGUGGCGGCAACAGCGGCGGCGGAGGCGGUUCCCGCGGCUACAGCAACAACAACAACAACGCGGGCGCCCGCUACCCCGACAAUCCCGGCGGCAACGGCUUUGGAGGUGGGCCGCGACAAGUAGGUGGUGACCGCGGUGACCGAUAG